AGUUAAAAUAAACUGUCUUAUUGGCAGAACAGAGUGUGAUCAUGAGAUACCAUUCAGCUUUUAUGCUGAUUCAUCAGCUCACAGUGAAACAAGCUUGCAAGAGAGCAUCCCAGGACCACUCAACAUUCAGAGACUAGGAGAGGAAAUAUCCCCAGGAGAAAUGCCAUGCAUGACCAGGGUUGAUGAUAUGGAACACACCCCACAAAGAUGCUUUGCCUUUGGGUACCAGGUCUUAAAAUCCUACAAAACUAAGGUAAUAGAAUACUUGAAGGCAUCACACAGAAGGUACAGCUUCAAAUCCUGUUCUAGGGCUCAGGACCAGAUGUAUGGACCCCACUCCUGAGUUAAUUUGCUGUAAAACAUGCGGUAUUUAAAAACUUUUACUAAAAUCUUGUUCCUGU
This 401-nucleotide long non-coding RNA is filed under the name Aotus nancymaae (Ma's night monkey). RNAcentral's name for it is "lncRNA (ENSANAG00000038981.1)". The record is from RNAcentral. Lineage: Eukaryota; Metazoa; Chordata; Mammalia; Primates; Aotidae.